CCCCGCCUGGGGAGUACGGGUGAGGUAAAGGCUCACCAAGGCGACGACGGGUAACCGGCCUGAGAGGGUGACCGGUCACACUGGGACUGAGACACGGCCCAGACUCCUACGGGAGGCAGCAGUGGGGAAUAUUGCACAAUGGGCGCAAGCCUGAUGCAGCAACGCCGCGUGAGGGAUGACGGCCUUCGGGUUGUAAACCUCUUUUAGCAGGGAAGAAGCGAAAGUGACGGUACCUGCAGAAAAAGCACCGGCUAACUACGUGCCAGCAGCCGCGGUAAUACGUAGGGUGCAAGCGUUGUCCGGAAUUAUUGGGCGUAAAGAGCUCGUAGGCGGUUUGUCACGUCUGCUGUGAAAAUCCGAGGCUCAACCUCGGACCUGCAGUGGGUACGGGCAAACUAGAGUGCGGUAGGGGAGAUUGGAAUUCCUGGUGUAGCGGUGGAAUGCGCAGAUAUCAGGAGGAACACCAAUGGCGAAGGCAGAUCUCUGGGCCGUAACUGACGCUGAGGAGCGAAAGCGUGGGGAGCGAACAGGAUUAGAUACCCUGGUAGUCCACGCCGUAAACGGUGGGAACUAGAUGUGGGGUCCGUUCCACGGAUUCCGUGUCGCAGCUAACGCAUUAAGUUCCCCGCCUGGGGAGUACGG
This 642-nucleotide ribosomal RNA is filed under the name uncultured Actinomycetes bacterium. Its description in RNAcentral is "bacterial SSU rRNA". It matches the Rfam family "Bacterial small subunit ribosomal RNA", at positions 231 to 885 of the family's 1533-position model. The record is from RNAcentral. Lineage: Bacteria; Bacillati; Actinomycetota; Actinomycetes.